GAAAGACUCUCGGCAACGGAUAUCUCGGCUCUUGCAUCGAUGAAGAACGUAGCGAAAUGCGAUACUUGGUGUGAAUUGCAGAAUCCCGUGAACCAUCGAGUCUUUGAACGCAAGUUGCGCCCGAAGCCAUUAGGCUGAGGGCACGCCUGCCUGGGUGUUGCA
Molecule: ribosomal RNA, 162 nt
Filed under: Hesperolaburnum platycarpum
Lineage: Eukaryota; Viridiplantae; Streptophyta; Magnoliopsida; Fabales; Fabaceae
Also listed under: 2 other names
Description: 5.8S ribosomal RNA
Rfam family: 5.8S ribosomal RNA
About the family: 5.8S ribosomal RNA (5.8S rRNA) is a component of the large subunit of the eukaryotic ribosome. It is transcribed by RNA polymerase I as part of the 45S precursor that also contains 18S and 28S rRNA. Functionally, it is thought that 5.8S rRNA may be involved in ribosome translocation.
Source: RNAcentral